GGGCGGUGGAGCCUGGCCUCUCCUGUUCUGGGUGGAACCUGGGAUUCAAUCUGUGAGGAACUCUCAACCAGGAGGAGAAUAAUGCCUCAAGCGAGCAUGUGCACAACUUCAGUAAACACACUGUGCCUGUGGCCUCUCCCAGCUGCUGGCAGGCCACCACUCAUGUGGAAUGCCAAUGUAUAGAACCCCAAGCCAAAGGUUGGAAUGCAGCGGCCCGAUCACGGCUCACUGCAACCUCCGCCUCCCAGCUUCCAGCAAUUCUCCUGACUGAGCCUCCCGAGUAGCUGGGACAACAGGCGUCCACCACCAUGCCCAGCUAAUUUUUGUAUUUUAGUAGAGAAGGGGUUUCACUACGUUGGCCAGGAUGACCUCGAUCUCUUUGACCUCGUGAUCCUCCCACCUCGGCCUCCCAAAGUGCUGGGAUUACAGGUGUGAGCCACCAUCCCUGGCCUACUCUAAUACUUUUAAAUAAACUUUUGCUC
Long non-coding RNA from Callithrix jacchus (white-tufted-ear marmoset), 482 nucleotides. RefSeq lists it as uncharacterized. Lineage: Eukaryota; Metazoa; Chordata; Mammalia; Primates; Cebidae. The record is from RefSeq and is a predicted model, not a curated record.